Prosopis cineraria is the source of this 1481-nucleotide long non-coding RNA. RefSeq lists it as uncharacterized. Lineage: Eukaryota; Viridiplantae; Streptophyta; Magnoliopsida; Fabales; Fabaceae. The record is from RefSeq and is a predicted model, not a curated record. The transcript is spliced from 5 exons.
UUCCCCCUCCUUGUCGGUUAGAAGUUGGAGAACAGAGUAAAGGAAAGCGUUCGCGUCCCUCUGUGUUUCUCUCCAUCUUUCCUGUCGUGUAGGCUUCAUCUUGCCGUCGGUGUGCUGGUCUCUUCAUCGCCAACAAGUGUCCGUCACUUUCCUUGGCUAUUCUUCCAUCUCUGUCCAGUAAAGUAGCUGAAGUUCUUUGUUUAUGCUCUGUUGCAUGGCCGCCGAAGUUUUGUUUCCUUCUCUUGGGGCAGCCAAGCGGAAGCUCUUCUCCUCUUCUUUGUGUGGUCCGUGAAGUAUGGUGUUGCAUCUCUUACUGUGCUUUGGUUGAGAUUUCCUAUUAUUGGUUUUGGCUAGUUGCCUCAUACCAUUUUCCUUCCCAAAAUUUCCUCAUCGUCAUCAAAUAAUGGCUCAAACAGAGAUGCAAAGCAAUGGCUGUGAAGUCAUGGAGCCUUCCCCCAAUAUCCAAAAGGUAGAACACAACGGUGUCGCCUAAAAUCCUCAAGCCUUUGUGCAAUUAUAACGCCUGAUCCAGCUAGUUACUACAAGUGAAUGAGAAUAAAGGAACCAAAACAAGGGAGUGCAGAUAUUACAUCAUGAAAUCCAUGAAAGAUGUUGUCACACAUGGAGAAAUAAUCAUUCCAGAAAACUUCUUUGAAGAUGCUUCAUGCAAGUCUUAUAGGAUGAAAGAAUUAGAUGAGUUUAUAGAGGAGUGGUCAAAAUAUGUUAUGAGAUCUUUACAAGGUAUUCAAAGUGGUUAGAAUUUGUGGUUUAGGUAUAAGUGUAGAAAUAUUAUGAAAAUUACAUUGUUUAGUUGCUUAUGAGUUUUGAUAUAUAAAAGAAAUACUUUGAUCUUUACUUGAAGUCGUUCCUUAAAAUUAAAUGAUAGUUGCCUUGUUGAAAUUUGUAUUGUCUUUUUAGAUUGUUGUGCUGUUGGGUUUUGUCUAAAAUAUUGGUCAUGAUAUACAAUAUAAAUGGAAUGGAAAAGAGAAAAUGAAAAAAUAUAAAAAAAAAUAAAAUACCUACCGAUGCAUUUUAUGGAUAAAAAGCUCCUAUAGAUACCUUACAAGAGCUUUUCUAAAAAGAAAAGCUCCCGUAUAAGGAAAGAGAAAAUGAAAAAAAUAUUAAAAAAUAAAAUACCUACCAAAGCAUUUUGUGGAUAAAAAGCUCUUGUAGGUACCUUACAAGAGCUUUUUUGACAAGAAAAACUCUUAUAGGGUCAAGCCUAUCGGAGCCUUUCUUUUAGAAAAGCUCUGGUAGGCCUAACUUUUGGGAACUUUUCUUUCUAGAAAAGUUCAUGUAAGGUAUGCUUACAGGAGCUUUUCAUCCUACAAAAGCUCUUAUAGGUCUCCUCUAUAAGAGCGUUUUACACGCUCUUGUAUAUUCAGGAGCUCCUCUUUUUUGAGCACUUGCAAAAUGCUCCGAAAGCUUAAAAUGGAACACUUUGAAAAUCUUUUUUUUUUUUGGUAGUAGUGAUACAUAUC